CCAACUCAGAGGAGCCAUGGGAUAAGAAAAGAGGAGCAUUUAUCUUGGAUGAUUGAGUGGAGGAAAUACAUAGGCUAAAACCUAAAUGAUACAUAAAAGCCAGAAUUCAAAAGUGAAGCCAUCAGGACCCGGGCUUUUCUUUGUAGCCUGAGAAUUCCAGAAGAUUUGGGAAAUGUCCAUGGAAAUAGCUCAUCCAGUACUACCUCCACCUCACACCUUUGACUACCAAAAGCAAGUAGGGAGGACUGUCUAUGGCGAUAAUACCCCUCAUCAACAAGAAAAUGAUAGAAUUCUAAAAUUGGAAAGUAGGCUUCUCUAAAGUACCUUCAGAUCCCACUGGGUUAAAACUGUGAGAAGAAUGGGAGCAGUAAGGAUACACAGAUAUCUGAGAUCGAUGGUGAACUGAAGCAGAGCAGUAAAAGCCAAAGAAAGAGAACAAAUGCCGAGGCUGUGCACAAUAAAUAAAAUUCACUGGCUGCUUGGAAGACACAGCGGUUGAGUGUGUCCGAUGCUGAGUAAUCAGAGACCAACUGGUUCUUUUUGUGUCUAAGAAUCAAUUUUUGUGACUAAGAAUCAAGAAGAAAACGGCUGCCAUUUGUGUGGAUGAUAACCCCAGAGAGAAAUGAUUACUGGGAAUCUGCUACUUCUUUUAUUUUUUCAAACAACGGAACAAUCUGCAAACGCUGUUUCUUAGCAACCUAAUCACGCCACCUGAUCUCAGACCAUCUUUGAACCAUUGGAGCUACAUUUAGCUUCAGUGUUGCUUCCCAGAGUCACCAGUCCAAGAAGCCCUGCUAGUAACCAGUGAUCCAGUCCAUCCCAUGCAGACCCGAGAGCAGGACCUCAACUUCCUGGGCAGAUGGAGAAAGGCAUAAAGAAAGGCAAAAUAUCUGAAAGACUGAGCAUUUUUACCACAAAAGAAAAACCCAAGGAAGAACAUUUAAAACUUCAUGACAUGAACAGGGUGCAAAGAUUACCUUUCUUUCAGUUGCAGCAUGAAAUUCAAGUUUACUGAGGGUCCUGAUAAUGAAAGAAAGCACUCUUAGAAAGAUAAAUCCAAAGGCAAUGUUUCUUCUAAUGUUAAUAAAUCUCAUACAUUCAAUGAAACAGACAGGCUUUAAUAGUUCUGUAUGACUUAACCUCUCAAUCAAUAUAAAGAAAUUUGAUAAGCCUGGGUAAAAAGAAUUUAAU
This 1191-nucleotide long non-coding RNA is filed under the name Heterocephalus glaber (naked mole-rat). Its description in RNAcentral is "lncRNA (ENSHGLG00100033892.1)". The record is from RNAcentral. Lineage: Eukaryota; Metazoa; Chordata; Mammalia; Rodentia; Bathyergidae.